UCUUCCGGGAGCGCGUGCUGGGGGAGGAGCGGUCGCCGCGCGUUAGUCAGGGAUCGGUGCGGGUCCUGGUUCCAAUUGAGCCUGUGCCAAAUGUGCUCCUGCCACAUCAUCCCCACUUGAGAACACUGCUAUAGAGCUACAAGACUAUAGGUAUUUGGUCUGCUGUUCAAAUUAUUGAAGGUGAAAUGUCAGAUCCAGCUCUGAGGAUUUGAACCAUAGACCAGAUCUCUGGAGAGGAGACAGAUGUUCAAAGACAAAUUUCAGGGCAGGGAGGGUAGGUGAGAGGCCCGUGGGCAGAGUGAGAAGAGCAGCCUCAUUCACACAACGAAUGUAUGGUCGCUCAUCUGGCAUGCUUAAGACAGACCUGAAAGAAUGUGCCAUCACCACAACAACUGGAGGCAAGAGAAGACAUCAACUCCAGAGCCCAUUGGUGUUAAAGAGCAGUGAUUAAAUCAUUCAGUGUGAAGUAUGAGCCUCAAGUCAAAUUCUGCCAGUGGAACUGAUGAGAGGUGGCGAAUGACUCAAAUGGAGGAGAAGAGAGAUUUGCAAGCUGGAGUGGGUUCGUGGAAAGGACUUCAUGUGCGUCCAGAUCAAGAAGCAAAAUGAAAAGAAUGAAAUUCUUGGACGGUUCGGUUUACAAGUUAAAACCUACAACUUACCCCUAGAGGGCGCUCUUCACUUUGUUAUCUCUCAGAAGCCUUGCCUGGCAAUGGCUGCCAUUCAAAUGGAAAACGUCGCACUUAAUGUUUGUGAAUUGUGUAAGAAUAAUCAGAAGAACCCCACAAUGCUGGGCAGAUUUUUUACCCCUAACGCUUCUGUUGGUUGUGAUGUAAAGUCCUUGACUGAAUCAAAUGUAAACUGUAAGGAUUCAGCAAAUCCAGGUUGCCUGUGCAAAUAUCCGUAACAUGUAAUUCACUAUCAACAUUUUUAUUCUCAUUAAACAGACAAAGCACACAAUUAAGAAACUUUAUGCUUCUCUCAUGUUUUCACUUUCAUAGAAGCGAUUUUGCAUAUUGAUCACUUUCAUACCAUAUCUUUGUGAGAGGUUUUAUAGCACAAAGUCAAAUAGUUCAUUGGUUUCUUUCUUCUUCUUCUUUUUUUUUUUCCCCCAGAAUGAUAA
This is a long non-coding RNA of Herpailurus yagouaroundi (jaguarundi), 1120 nucleotides long. RefSeq lists it as uncharacterized. The record is from RefSeq and is a predicted model, not a curated record. Lineage: Eukaryota; Metazoa; Chordata; Mammalia; Carnivora; Felidae. The transcript is spliced from 6 exons.